CGGGGAUUAGGGUUCGAUUCCGGAGAGGGAGCCUGAGAAACGGCUACCACAUCUAAGGAAGGCAGCAGGCGCGCAAAUUACCCAAUCCUAAUACAGGGAGGUAGUGACAAGAAAUAACAAUACAGAACCUCACGGUUUUGUAAUUGGAAUGAGUUAAGUAUAAACCCCUUAACGAGUAUCAAUUGGAGGGCAAGUCUGGUGCCAGCAGCCGCGGUAAUUCCAGCUCCAAUAGCGUAUAUUAAAGUUGUUGCAGUUAAAAAGCUCGUAGUUGAUUUUCUGUUAAUUUUUAUGUAUAAUAUUGCGAUAUUUACAUAAUAUUAACAUAAUUCACAUUACUUUACAGUAUGUGGAAUUUUACUUUGAGAAAAUUAGAGUGCUUAAAGCAGGCUAUUGCCUUGAAUACUCCAGCAUGGAAUAAUAUUAAGGAUUUUUAUUCUUCUUAUUGGUUCUAGAAUAAAAAUAAUGAUUAAUAGGAACAGUUGGGGGCAUUUGUAUUUAACAGUCAGA
This 507-nucleotide ribosomal RNA is filed under the name Cryptosporidium scrofarum. Its description in RNAcentral is "bacterial SSU rRNA". It matches the Rfam family "Eukaryotic small subunit ribosomal RNA", at positions 363 to 909 of the family's 1831-position model. Lineage: Eukaryota; Apicomplexa; Conoidasida; Eucoccidiorida; Cryptosporidiidae. The record is from RNAcentral.